Molecule: signal recognition particle RNA, 264 nt
Filed under: Vombatus ursinus (common wombat)
Lineage: Eukaryota; Metazoa; Chordata; Mammalia; Diprotodontia; Vombatidae
Description: Metazoan signal recognition particle RNA (ENSVURG00010003275.1)
Rfam family: Metazoan signal recognition particle RNA
About the family: The signal recognition particle (SRP) is a universally conserved ribonucleoprotein. It is involved in the co-translational targeting of proteins to membranes.
Source: Rfam by way of RNAcentral
GGUGGUAUAGGCCUAUAAUCCCUGCUACUGAGAGCCUAAGGUUGAUGGAUUAUUUGAGCUCUGGAGUUCUGAGCUGUAGUAGGACCAAAGCUGAUUGAGUAUUCAUGCUAAAUAUAGCAACAAUAUGGUUACCUAAGGAGAGGUACACCAGCCCAGACUGGAAAUGGAGCAAGUCAAUACUUCUGUGACAAUCAGUAGGGGGAAUUGGGCCCAUGAGUGGCCCCUACACUUUCAGCCAGGGUGAGCUGGAGAGACUCAGUUUCU